AACGAACGCUGGCGGCGCGCCUAACACAUGCAAGUCGAACGAGAAUCCGGGGCAACCCGGUAGUAAAGUGGCAAACGGGUGAGGAAUACAUGGGUAACCUACCCUUGAGAAGGGAAUAACCCGCCGAAAGGUGAGCUAAUACCCUAUACGCUAUCUUUUUUUCGAAAAGGAUAGGAAAGCCGGGUCGAGGACCUGGUACUCAAGGAGGGGCUCAUGUCCUAUCAGCUUGUUGGUGGGGUAACGGCCUACCAAGGCUACGACGGGUAGCUGGUCUGAGAGGAUGAUCAGCCACACUGGCACUGAGAUACGGGCCAGACUCCUACGGGAGGCAGCAGUGAGGAAUAUUGCGCAAUGGGCGAAAGCCUGACGCAGCGACGCCGCGUGGGGGAUGAAGGUUUUCGGAUUGUAAACCCCUUUCAUGAGGAAAGAUAAAGUGGGUAACCACUUAGACGGUACCUCAAGAAGAAGCCACGGCUAACUUCGUGCCAGCAGCCGCGGUAAAGUC
RNAcentral lists this ribosomal RNA (505 nucleotides) under uncultured bacterium. RNAcentral describes it as "bacterial SSU rRNA". It matches the Rfam family "Bacterial small subunit ribosomal RNA", at positions 29 to 526 of the family's 1533-position model. The record is from RNAcentral.